CCUGCGCCGAAAAUGUCCGGGGCUGAAACACACUACCGAAGCUUGGGAAUUGAUGAAUGUCAAUUGGUAGAGGAGCAUUCUUACCGAGACGAAGCUGUACCGGAAGGAGCAGUGGAUUGGUAAGAAGAGAGAAUGCCGGAAUGAGUAGCGAGAGGAAGGUGAGAAUCCUUCCGGCCGAAUAUCUAAGGUUUCCAGAGUAAAGCUGAUCUGCUCUGGGUAAGUCGGGGCCUAAGGCGAGGUCGAAAGACGUAGUCGAUGGAUAACAGGUAAAGAUUCCUGUACUGUAUCAUAACAGAACUGUGGGGACGCAGACAGAGAGCAUAAGCCGGGAAUGGAAAGACCGGUACAAGCGAGGUAGGAGUGCAUCAGGCAAAUCCGGUGCACAAUCUGAAGACGUGAUGUGGGGCGUAAAGCCGGAAGUAUGUGAGCUGGCUGCCAAGAAAAGCCGCUAUUGUUUAUGAUAUACCCGUACCGUAAACCGACACAGGUGGAUGAGGAGAGAAUCCUAAGGCCGACGGGAGAAGCAUUGUUAAGGAACUCGGCAAAAUGACUCCGUAACUUCGGGAGAAGGAGUGCCAUGUAAAAGUGGCCGCAGAGAAUUGGCCCAAGCAACUGUUUAGCAAAAACACAGGUCUAUGCAAAACCGAAAGGUGAGGUAUAUGGGCUGACGCCUGCCCGGUGCUGGAAGGUUAAGGGGAGAGGUUAGCCGUAAGGCGAAGCUUUGAACUUAAGCCCCAGUAAACGGCGGCCGUAACUAUAACGGUCCUAAGGUAGCGAAAUUCCUUGUCGGGUAAGUUCCGACCCGCACGAAAGGCGUAAUGAUUUGGGCACUGUCUCAACAAUGCACCCGGUGAAAUUGAAAUACCAGUGAAGAUGCUGGUUACCUGCGCCAGGACGGAAAGACCCCAUGGAGCUUUACUCCAGCUUGAUACUGGGAUUCGAUAUUGCAUGUACAGGAUAGGUGGGAGACU
RNAcentral lists this ribosomal RNA (971 nucleotides) under Mediterraneibacter gnavus. Its description in RNAcentral is "[Ruminococcus] gnavus partial 23S ribosomal RNA". It matches the Rfam family "Bacterial large subunit ribosomal RNA", at positions 1158 to 2156 of the family's 2925-position model. The record is from RNAcentral. Lineage: Bacteria; Bacillati; Bacillota; Clostridia; Lachnospirales; Lachnospiraceae.